AGGUAACAAUAAUAUAGCAUUGAUUAAUACAGAAAAAUUCUCUACUGCUGACUUGAAGUUGUAGUUGUAACUUGAAGUUGAAGUUGUAACUUGUACACAAGUUGCUGGUAUUUAAAUCAAGUUGAACUGCGUCAAACGAAAAACAAUUUAAGUUAUUACUUUUAAAGGUACAAUGGUAUUUGUUUAGAUUUUGAAUUUAUUUAAAUCUAAA
Molecule: long non-coding RNA, 211 nt
Organism: Hydra vulgaris (swiftwater hydra)
Lineage: Eukaryota; Metazoa; Cnidaria; Hydrozoa; Anthoathecata; Hydridae
Source: RefSeq, a predicted model, not a curated record